UUUCCGUAGGUGAACCGGCGGAAGGAUCAUUAUUGUAUAACCGAGGUGCGAGGGCUGUCGCUGACCCGAAAGGUCGUGCACGCCCGAGUGCCCUCACACACAUCCAUCUCACCCCUAUGUGCACCACCGCGUGGGUCCCCCUUUGGCUUGUUCGGAGGGGGGCUUACGUUUUCACACAAACUUUGUAUGCAGUGUAGAAUGUAUUUUUUGUUCUUGCGAUCACGCAAUCAAUACAACUUUCAACAACGGAUCUCUUGGCUCUC
Molecule: unclassified non-coding RNA, 263 nt
Filed under: plant metagenome
Description: partial contains small subunit ribosomal RNA, internal transcribed spacer 1, and 5.8S ribosomal RNA
Source: RNAcentral